This 619-nucleotide long non-coding RNA is filed under the name Homarus americanus (American lobster). Its description in RNAcentral is "uncharacterized LOC121875049, transcript variant X1". The record is from RNAcentral. Lineage: Eukaryota; Metazoa; Arthropoda; Malacostraca; Decapoda; Nephropidae.
GAUUCAAGUUUGUCAAUAUCCCGUCAAAUUUCAAGCAAUAUGAACACACUUUCUCCCGCAAUUACAUAGUUUGUUGUGGAUUUGGCGAUGUAGGAAAAACCGAAUCUGUGAACAUGACGUCGUCACCAAAAGGUCAGAUUUUUGUUCUUUUAGUCAUUUAUUACCAGACCUACUGAACCAUCCAGAUAUUUUUACUUUAGAAUGACAGAAAAUUUCAAGAAAUUGGUAGAUAUGACAGGAGUUUCUGUCAAGAAAAUGAACACAAAUUACAGGCGUUCAUUUGGAGUUGAAGAAAGAUUUGCCACAUUUUUUGUUGCUCAAAAUCUGUGCCACUUUGCUUGUAACUACUGUACUGCCUCAGUGAAACACUCCUUAUAGAAAUUGAAGCUGGUAAAAUCAAAGCUUCACAGUCUUUACAGGAAGGAAAGGCUGUCUUUCUUCAUGCCUCUGGCGACAGAGAAGGACGUCUCCAUCAAUCAUAAUGAAGUCAUCAACAGAGGCAGAUACUUAUGUGAAAGAAUGUGAAAUAUUCUGCUAAGAAUUGCCGGCACUUCUAACAUGGAAAGUGGAUUUCUCCCCUACAAACGCUGUUUGUCGCUGAGUAGCCGACCCCGCGAAU